CAAUAGCGUAUAUUAAAGUUGUUGCAGUUAAAAAGCUCGUAGUUGGAUUUCUGGGAGGGUGCUAAUGUCCGCCGUAGCGCGUGUGCAGCAGCGCCCUUCCAUCCUUCUGUUAACGCCUCUUGGCAUUUGUUUGCUGGUGGCGGGCUCAGAUAUUUUACCUUGAGAAAAUUAGAGUGUUUCAGGCAGGCUAGGCCGGAAUAUAUUAGCAUGGAAUAAUGGAAUAGGACUAUGGUCUCUUUGUUGGUUUGAGGGACUGCAGUAAUGAUUAAUAGGGAUAGUUGGGGGCAUUAGUAUUUAAUUGUCAGAGGUGGAAUUCUCAGAUUUGUUAAAGACGGACUACCUGACGAAGCUA
This 352-nucleotide ribosomal RNA is filed under the name uncultured eukaryote. RNAcentral describes it as "SSU rRNA". It matches the Rfam family "Eukaryotic small subunit ribosomal RNA", at positions 592 to 954 of the family's 1831-position model. The record is from RNAcentral.